Long non-coding RNA from Pan troglodytes (chimpanzee), 1071 nucleotides. RefSeq lists it as uncharacterized. The record is from RefSeq and is a predicted model, not a curated record. Lineage: Eukaryota; Metazoa; Chordata; Mammalia; Primates; Hominidae. The transcript has 2 exons.
ACGGGCGGGAGGGGUCGGGAAUUUCUCCCCCGCGCUGCGGCUGGGGGAGGGGAGGGGGGUCCCCGUCUGGGCGUCCGGGGGGCGCCCGCCCAGGAAGGGGCUUCCAUCCGGGAGGGGUGUGGACCCGCCCCCGACGCCGGGUAGCCAAGGUCAGGCCGACAGAACGCUCCACGUCACAGAUCGGAAAAAUCAAGCGAAAUAUGACCACGACGCACGGAUCAAAACGGCCACAAACCGAGAACGCCUCCCCCAGCGCUCGCUCCCUCCUGCGGCCGGGUCAGCCCCAUUUCACCGACGGGGAAACUGAGGCCGGGCAGGGCGGCCUUCUCCCGGCGUUCAUCCUCCUGCGGGCGGGGCCCGCCAGGCGCGGGGGAGUCUCAUUCCCGUGUGAUCGGCGAGGCCGGGACCAGGACCCCGGCGCAGGGGUCACGGAAGGAAGCGGAGGUCGGAUCACAAAAGAUGUGUGGGUAAACACGAUGUGGCCGUCCACGCACUGGGACAUGACUCAGCCGUGAACAGGAGCGAGGCUCUGACCCAGGCCACGGCGCGGAUGCACCUUGAGGACAUCACGCUCAGUGAGAGACGCCAGACACAGAAGGCCACGCAGCGUGUGAUCCCAUGUCUACGAAAUGUCCAGGACCUGCCGAUCCAGAGACAGGAAGGGGACUGGCUCCCCGAGGGCUGGGGGGGGAGGGGACAGGAGGGGAUGCCUAAUGGGGACAGGGCUUGUUUUGGGGGUGAUGAAAAUGUUCUGAAAUUGUGGUGAAAGAUACACAACUCUGCUGGGCGCGGUGGCUCACACCUGUAAUCCCAGCACUUUGGGAGGGCAAGGCAGGUGGAUCACAAGGUCAAGAGAUCAAGACCAUCCUGGUCAAUAUGGUGAAACCCCGUCUCUACUAAAAACACAAAAAUUAGCCGGGCAUGGUGGCACGUGCCUGUAAUCUCAGCUGCUCAGGAGGCUGAGGCAGGAGAACCGCUUGAACCCGGGAGGCGGAGGUUGCAGUGAGCCGGGAUUACGUCACUGCACUCCAGCCUAUGUGACAGAGAGACUCUGUCUCAAAAAAAAAGAAA